CUAAAGGCAUUUUUAUAAAACCAUUAAUUAUUUUUAUUUAAGUCGUUCAAAAUCAUGAAGCCGAGCAUGAGGAAGCUGGGUGAUUAGAUUUUGGCUCACAGCCUGAUAAACGAUUUUAAACCCUUAAUCAUCAACAAGCUGCUUUCCUCGAAUAAACAGUUCGUUAAAGAUAGAAGAGAUGGGGGCUAGGCUAAACAGGAUAUACUAUUAUUGGUAACUAUCAUGAUUUAAAAAUGUUGAUUCUGCCGAACAAGUUACAACAAUGUAUUUAGUCAGACCACCUAUG
Gordionus sp. m RMFG-2023 is the source of this 286-nucleotide long non-coding RNA. RefSeq lists it as uncharacterized. Lineage: Eukaryota; Metazoa; Nematomorpha; Gordioida; Chordodea; Parachordodidae. The record is from RefSeq and is a predicted model, not a curated record. The transcript has 3 exons.